GACGGAGGAUGCAAGUGUCGUCCGGAAUCAGUGGGCGUAAAGCGUCGGUAGGUGGUUUAAUAAGUCAACUGUUAAAUCUUGAAGCUCAACUUCAAAUUCGGAGUCGAGACUAUUAGACUAGAGUAUAGUAGGGGUAAAGGGAAUUUCCAGUGGAGCGGUGAAAUGCGUAGAGAUUGGAAAGAACACCGAUGGCGAAGGCACUUUACUGGGCUAUUACUGACACCCAGAGACGAAAGCUAGGCUACCAAAUGGG
This 253-nucleotide ribosomal RNA is filed under the name uncultured bacterium. Its description in RNAcentral is "partial 16S ribosomal RNA". It matches the Rfam family "Bacterial small subunit ribosomal RNA", at positions 524 to 776 of the family's 1533-position model. The record is from RNAcentral.